Molecule: ribosomal RNA, 386 nt
Filed under: uncultured bacterium
Lineage: Bacteria
Description: bacterial SSU rRNA
Rfam family: Bacterial small subunit ribosomal RNA
Source: RNAcentral
CAAGCGUUGGAAACUGUAUAACUAGAGUAACUUAGGGGGAACUGGAAUUCCUAGUGUAGAGGUAAAAUUUGCAGAUAUUAGGAAGAACACCGGAGGCGAAAGCGAGUUCCUGGGAGUUAACUGACGCUGAGGCGCGAAAGUGUGGGAAUCAAACAGGAUUAGAUACCCUGGUAGUCCACACUGUAAACGAUGUACACUGGAUGUUGGUUGAAAGAUCAGUAUCGAAGCAAAUGCGAUAAGUGUACCGCCUGGGGAGUAUACUGGCAACGGUGAAACUCAAAGGAAUUGACGGGCCCCUGCACAAGCGGUGGAGCAUGUGGUUUAAUUCGAUGAUACGCGAGGAACCUUACCAGGGCUUGACAUAUACACGAUGGUCAUAGAGAUAU